This 1369-nucleotide ribosomal RNA is filed under the name uncultured bacterium. RNAcentral describes it as "bacterial SSU rRNA". It matches the Rfam family "Bacterial small subunit ribosomal RNA", at positions 28 to 1381 of the family's 1533-position model. The record is from RNAcentral.
GACGAACGCUGGCGGCGUGCCUAAUACAUGCAAGUAGAACGCUGAAGGGAGGAGCUUGCUCUUCUUGGAUGAGUUGCGAACGGGUGAGUAACGCGUAGGUAACCUGCCUUGUAGCGGGGGAUAACUAUUGGAAACGAUAGCUAAUACCACAUAACAAUGGGUGACUCAUGUCAUUUAUUUGAAAGGGGCAAAUGCUCCACUACAAGAUGGACCUGCGUUGUAUUAGCUAGUAGGUGAGGUAACGGCUCACCUAGGCGACGAUACAUAGCCGACCUGAGAGGGUGAUCGGCCACACUGGGACUGAGACACGGCCCAGACUCCUACGGGAGGCAGCAGUAGGGAAUCUUCGGCAAUGGGGGCAACCCUGACCGAGCAACGCCGCGUGAGUGAAGAAGGUUUUCGGAUCGUAAAGCUCUGUUGUAAGUCAAGAACGAGUGUGAGAGUGGAAAGUUCACACUGUGACGGUAGCUUACCAGAAAGGGACGGCUAACUACGUGCCAGCAGCCGCGGUAAUACGUAGGUCCCGAGCGUUGUCCGGAUUUAUUGGGCGUAAAGCGAGCGCAGGCGGUUUGAUAAGUCUGAAGUUAAAGGCUGUGGCUCAACCAUAGUUCGCUUUGGAAACUGUCAAACUUGAGUGCAGAAGGGGAGAGUGGAAUUCCAUGUGUAGCGGUGAAAUGCGUAGAUAUAUGGAGGAACACCGGUGGCGAAAGCGGCUCUCUGGUCUGUAACUGACGCUGAGGCUCGAAAGCGUGGGGAGCGAACAGGAUUAGAUACCCUGGUAGUCCACGCCGUAAACGAUGAGUGCUAGGUGUUGGAUCCUUUCCGGGAUUCAGUGCCGCAGCUAACGCAUUAAGCACUCCGCCUGGGGAGUACGACCGCAAGGUUGAAACUCAAAGGAAUUGACGGGGGCCCGCACAAGCGGUGGAGCAUGUGGUUUAAUUCGAAGCAACGCGAAGAACCUUACCAGGUCUUGACAUCCCGAUGCUAUUUCUAGAGAUAGAAAGUUACUUCGGUACAUCGGUGACAGGUGGUGCAUGGUUGUCGUCAGCUCGUGUCGUGAGAUGUUGGGUUAAGUCCCGCAACGAGCGCAACCCCUAUUGUUAGUUGCCAUCAUUCAGUUGGGCACUCUAGCGAGACUGCCGGUAAUAAACCGGAGGAAGGUGGGGAUGACGUCAAAUCAUCAUGCCCCUUAUGACCUGGGCUACACACGUGCUACAAUGGUUGGUACAACGAGUUGCGAGUCGGUGACGGCAAGCUAAUCUCUUAAAGCCAAUCUCAGUUCGGAUUGUAGGCUGCAACUCGCCUACAUGAAGUCGGAAUCGCUAGUAAUCGCGGAUCAGCACGCCGCGGUGAAUACGUUCCCGGGCCU